UCCGAUACUCAUGCUUAAAGACCAGAGGCCUCAUGUUCAAAGGUUACGUACGCACAAAAACGUGGCGUCCGCCCUUUUCCACGCUCACCUUCAGAUGUACAAAGAGUGACAUGACCGUGGAAAUGUGCGGUC
Long non-coding RNA from Sphaeramia orbicularis (orbiculate cardinalfish), 132 nucleotides. RefSeq lists it as uncharacterized. The record is from RefSeq and is a predicted model, not a curated record. The transcript has 3 exons. NCBI's taxonomy places the organism in Eukaryota, Metazoa, Chordata, Actinopteri, Kurtiformes, Apogonidae.